Molecule: ribosomal RNA, 465 nt
Filed under: uncultured bacterium
Lineage: Bacteria
Description: partial 16S ribosomal RNA
Rfam family: Bacterial small subunit ribosomal RNA
Source: RNAcentral
GACGAACGCUGGCGGCGUGCUUAACACAUGCAAGUCGAACGGAAAGGCCCUGCUUGCAGGGUACUCGAGUGGCGAACGGGUGAGUAACACGUGGGUGAUCUGCCCUGCACUUCGGGAUAAGCCUGGGAAACUGGGUCUAAUACCGGAUAGGAGCCAUCUUUAGUGUGAUGGUUGGAUAGUUUUUUCGGUGUAGGAUGAGCUCGCGGCCUAUCAGCUUGUUGGUGGGGUAAUGGCCUACCAAGGCGGCGACGGGUAGCCGGCCUGAGAGGGUGGACGGCCACAUUGGGACUGAGAUACGGCCCAGACUCCUACGGGAGGCAGCAGUGGGGAAUAUUGCACAAUGGGCGCAAGCCUGAUGCAGCGACGCCGCGUGGGGGAUGACGGCCUUCGGGUUGUAAACUCCUUUCGCUAGGGACGAAGCUUUUUGUGACGGUACCUAGAUAAGAAGCACCGGCUAACUACGUG